UCCGGCUUAACGCCGGCAGUCCCCCCAGAGUCCCCGGCCGAACCGCUGGCAACUGGGAGCGAGGGUUGCGCUCGUUGCGGGACUUAACCCAACAUCUCACGACACGAGCUGACGACAGCCAUGCAGCACCUGUCUCGCGAUUCCCGAAGGCACCAAGGCAUUUCUGCCGAGUUCCGCGGAUGUCAAGACCAGGUAAGGUUCUUCGCGUUGCGUCGAAUUAAACCACAUGCUCCACCGCUUGUGCGGGUCCCCGUCAAUUCCUUUGAGUUUUAAUCUUGCGACCGUACUCCCCAGGCGGUCGACUUCACGCGUUAGCUGCGGUACUAAGGAAGUCUCCUUCCCCAACACCUAGUCGACAUCGUUUAGGGCGUGGACUAC
RNAcentral lists this unclassified non-coding RNA (378 nucleotides) under uncultured Gammaproteobacteria bacterium. Its description in RNAcentral is "contains 16S-23S intergenic spacer region". The record is from RNAcentral. Lineage: Bacteria; Pseudomonadati; Pseudomonadota; Gammaproteobacteria.